GUUAACUCUUUUCAUAGUUAUUCUCUCGAAAUCGUGAAAUUGCAGCAAUGGAACUCUUGAAAUUCGCGGUUUUUGCGAUGACAGCUGUCAUCUACUGGAUUUCGUACGCUGAGACUGCGUUGCCUCCUAAUUGGUCAUUUUGCGACAGACCUGACGGCAGAUGUUAGUUACAUCAAGUAAUAAUUCUAUCACAUUCUAUUAUUCCUUUUAAUCAAUAUUUGAAUAGUAAGUAAUUUUACUAAAUUUGAUAUCUGAAACGUGGACAAAUGAUCGAUGCUGGUGGUUUGGAAUUGACAUGAGAGUUUCUGGAUAUCUUUUCUUUUAAAGUAAUUAACCAACAUAAUAAAUUCCUUAACCAUUAAUAUUGCGUAACGGAAAAUUGUUCGCAAUGGACAAUUGCAGUAUUGUAAUGAUUGGAAAUUAAAUAUAUUGGUAUUGAAUUAACUAUUGAUGAAUAAUAUUGGCUGCCCAGGGGAAACCCAGGGAAAACAUUUCCAUUCUUCUUCAUUCGUCUUUCCUCCCGCAUAAUAUUCAUUUUGUACGCGGAAACAAUAAAUUAGAUAGUGUUGCAGUUUAUGAAGGAUGACAGCCGCAUGUCGUUUUUAUCUUUAAAACAGUCCAUAGGCAUUGAGUAUAUAAAUCGAAUAGUAGUCUAGAAGGGUCCAUACCUACUUCGACGGUGCAAGUGAGCUCUUUGUAAUUAUCCCCUCGAACUAUGGAACCCUUGAAAGUUGCGGUUUUCGUGAUGGUUGCUGUCAUUUGGUGCAUCUCAUAUGCUCAGGCAUCACCUGUUCCGAUAUACUGCGAGCCAUUCCGUGGCUGCCAUGGUGACUAGUUCAACUGGAACGUGCACAAUUGAGGGAUGGGGGUGGCAUGGAAUUGACUUGGCUGUUUACGAAUAUCUUUUCCAGGGUUGAAAUGUUUCGUUGUAAUUAUCAAAAUGAAUUAUGUAAUUCUAUCUGUUGGAAAUAAAAUAUAAUAAUGCUGAAGCAAUUA
This is a long non-coding RNA of Diachasma alloeum, 996 nucleotides long. RefSeq lists it as uncharacterized. Lineage: Eukaryota; Metazoa; Arthropoda; Insecta; Hymenoptera; Braconidae. The transcript has 2 exons. The record is from RefSeq and is a predicted model, not a curated record.